Molecule: ribosomal RNA, 253 nt
Filed under: uncultured bacterium
Lineage: Bacteria
Description: partial 16S ribosomal RNA
Rfam family: Bacterial small subunit ribosomal RNA
Source: RNAcentral
UACGAAGGUCCCAAGCGUUAUCCGGAUUUAUUGGGUUUAAAGGGUGCGUAGGUGGGCUAGUAAGUCCGUGGUGAAAUCUCCAAGCUUAACUUGGAAACUGCCGUGGAUACUAUUAGUCUUGAAUAUUGUGGAGGUAAGCGGAAUAUGUCAUGUAGCGGUGAAAUGCUUAGAUAUGACAUAGAACACCGAUAGCGAAGGCAGCUUGCUACACAAUCAUUGACACUGAGGCACGAAAGCGUGGGGAUCAAACAGG